GAUGAACGCUGGCGGCGUGCCUAAUACAUGCAAGUCGAGCGAACAGACGAGGAGCUUGCUCCUCUGACGUUAGCGGCGGACGGGUGAGUAACACGUGUAUACCCUACCUAUAAGACUGGUAUAACUUCGGGAAACCGGAUCUAAUACCGGAUAAUAUCUUGAACCGCAUGGUUCAAUAGUGAAAUACGGUUUUGCUGGCACUUCUAGAUGGAUCCGCGCCGCAUUAGCUAGUUGGUAAGGUAACGGCUUACCAAGGCAACGAUGCGUAGCCGACCUGAGAGGGUGAUCGGCCACACUGGAACUGAGACACGGUCCAGACUCCUGCGGGAGGCAGCAGUAGGGAAUCUUACGCAAUGGGCGAAAGCCUGACGGAGCAACGCCGCGUGAGUGAUGAAGGUCUUCGGAUCGUAAAACUCUGUUAUUAGGGAAGAACAAAUGUGUAAGUAACUAUGCACGUCUUGACGGUACCUAAUCAGAAAGCAACGGCUAACUACGUG
Molecule: ribosomal RNA, 497 nt
Filed under: uncultured bacterium
Lineage: Bacteria
Description: partial 16S ribosomal RNA
Rfam family: Bacterial small subunit ribosomal RNA
Source: RNAcentral